RNAcentral lists this ribosomal RNA (1335 nucleotides) under uncultured bacterium. RNAcentral describes it as "bacterial SSU rRNA". It matches the Rfam family "Bacterial small subunit ribosomal RNA", at positions 28 to 1381 of the family's 1533-position model. The record is from RNAcentral.
GACGAACGCUGGCGGCACGCUUAACACAUGCAAGUCGAACGAGAGAAGAGAAGCUUGCUUUUCUGAUCUAGUGGCGGACGGGUGAGUAACACGUGAGCAAUCUGCCUUUCAGAGGGGGAUACCGAUUGGAAACGAUCGUUAAUACCGCAUAACAUAAUUGAACCGCAUGAUUUGAUUAUCAAAGAUUUAUCGCUGAAAGAUGAGCUCGCGUCUGAUUAGCUAGUUGGUAAGGUAACGGCUUACCAAGGCGACGAUCAGUAGCCGGACUGAGAGGUUGAUCGGCCACAUUGGGACUGAGACACGGCCCAGACUCCUACGGGAGGCAGCAGUGGGGAAUAUUGCACAAUGGAGGAAACUCUGAUGCAGCGAUGCCGCGUGAGGGAAGAAGGUUUUAGGAUUGUAAACCUCUGUCUUCAGGGACGAAAAAAGACGGUACCUGAGGAGGAAGCUCCGGCUAACUACGUGCCAGCAGCCGCGGUAAUACGUAGGGAGCGAGCGUUGUCCGGAAUUACUGGGUGUAAAGGGAGCGUAGGCGGGAUCGCAAGUCAGAUGUGAAAACUAUGGGCUUAACCCAUAAACUGCAUUUGAAACUGUGGUUCUUGAGUGAAGUAGAGGUAAGCGGAAUUCCUAGUGUAGCGGUGAAAUGCGUAGAUAUUAGGAGGAACAUCAGUGGCGAAGGCGGCUUACUGGGCUUUAACUGACGCUGAGGCUCGAAAGCGUGGGGAGCAAACAGGAUUAGAUACCCUGGUAGUCCACGCCGUAAACGAUGAUUACUAGGUGUGGGGGGACUGACCCCUUCCGUGCCGCAGCAAACGCAAUAAGUAAUCCACCUGGGGAGUACGACCGCAAGGUUGAAACUCAAAGGAAUUGACGGGGGCCCGCACAAGCAGUGGAGUAUGUGGAUUAAUUCGAAGCAACGCGAAGAACCUUACCAGGUCUUGGCAUCGUAUGCAUAGCUCAGAGAUGAGUGAAAUCUCUUCGGAGACAUAUAGACAGGUGGUGCAUGGUUGUCGUCAGCUCGUGUCGUGAGAUGUUGGGUUAAGUCCCGCAACGAGCGCAACCCUUACUGUUAGUUGCUACGCAAGAGCACUCUAGCAGGACUGCCGUUGACAAAACGGAGGAAGGUGGGGAUGACGUCAAAUCAUCAUGCCCCUUAUGACCUGGGCCUCACACGUACUACAAUGGCUGUCAACAGAGGGAUGCAAAGCCGCGAGGUGGAGCGAACCCCUAAAAGCAGUCUUAGUUCGGAUUGUAGGCUGCAACCCGCCUACAUGAAGUCGGAAAUUGCUAGUAAUCGCAGAUCAGCAUGCUGCGGUGAAAUACGUUCCCGGGCCU